Molecule: ribosomal RNA, 354 nt
Filed under: Epulopiscium sp. Nele67-Bin004
Lineage: Bacteria; Bacillati; Bacillota; Clostridia; Lachnospirales; Lachnospiraceae
Description: bacterial SSU rRNA
Rfam family: Bacterial small subunit ribosomal RNA
Source: RNAcentral
UUUUUAAUGAGAGUUUGAUCCUGGCUCAGGAUGAACGCUGGCGGCGUGCUUAACACAUGCAAGUCGAACGGACUACUUCGGUAGUUAGUGGCGGACGGGUGAGUAACGCGUGGGUAACUUGCCCUGUGCAGGGGAAUAACGUUUGGAAACAAACGCUAAUACCGCAUAAGCUAACAGUAUCGCAUGAUAGAGUUAGAAAAGAUUUAUCGGCACAGGAUAGACCCGCGUUGGAUUAGCUAGUUGGUGAGAUAACAGCUCACCAAGGCGACGAUCCAUAGCCGGCCUGAGAGGGUGAACGGCCACACUGGGACUGAGACACGGCCCAGACUCCUACGGGAGGCAGCAGUGGGGAAU